GGAUAUGCAUUUUGCUCCUCGAUCAUGAUUAAGAAGCGCACGAUGGAGAUCUAUAUGGAGAUAUGUACCACUCUCCGACUGUGGCUGAGGAGCGUGUGAUGGAGAUCAAUUGAAGAUGCGUUUCGCUCCUCAACCAUGGCCAAGGGGUGCAUGAUGGAGAUCCACAUGGAGAUGCAUACCACUCUUCGAUCAUGAUCGAAGAGCGUGUGAUGGAGAUCGAAUGGAGAUGCGCUUCACUCCUCGGCCAUGAUCGAGGAGCACGUGAUGGAGAUUGGUCGAGGAGCAUGCGAUGGAGAUCUACAUGGCAACACGUUCCACUCCUCGAUCAUGAUCAAGAAGCGUGCGAUGGAGACUGAUUGGAGAUACAUUCUGCAUCUUGACUGAAGUCGAGGAGCACGUGAUGGAAAUCGAUUGGAGAUGCAUUUCACUCCUCGAUCGUGGUCAAGGAACAUGUGAUGGAGAUCCGCAUGGAGAUCGUACCACUCCUUGAUCG
Molecule: long non-coding RNA, 493 nt
Filed under: Elaeis guineensis (African oil palm)
Lineage: Eukaryota; Viridiplantae; Streptophyta; Magnoliopsida; Arecales; Arecaceae
Description: long non-coding RNA (EGUI_LNC021591)
Source: RNAcentral